GACGAACGCUGGCGGCGUGCCUAAUACAUGCAAGUAGAACGCAGUUGCGAACGGGUGAGUAACGCGUAGGUAACUGCCUCAUAGCGGGGGAUAACUAAUGGAAACGAUAGCUAAUACCGGAUACUGUGAGAUGGACCUGCGUUGGAUUAGGUAGUUGGUGAGGUAAAGGCCAACCAAGGCGCCGAUACAUAGCCGACCUGAGGGGGUUAUCGGCCACCCUGGGACUUAUACACCGCUCCGAAUCCUUCGGGAGGCAGCCGUAGGGAAACUUCGGCAAUGGACGGAAGUCGGAACGAGCAACUCCGCGUGAGUGAAGAAGGUUUUCGGAUCGGAAAGCUCUGUUGUUAGAGAAGCGGUAACUAAACAGAAAGGGACGGCUAACUACGUGCCAGCCGCCGCGGUAAUAC
RNAcentral lists this ribosomal RNA (407 nucleotides) under uncultured bacterium. RNAcentral describes it as "partial 16S ribosomal RNA". It matches the Rfam family "Bacterial small subunit ribosomal RNA", at positions 28 to 526 of the family's 1533-position model. The record is from RNAcentral.